RNAcentral lists this ribosomal RNA (483 nucleotides) under uncultured bacterium. RNAcentral's name for it is "partial 16S ribosomal RNA". It matches the Rfam family "Bacterial small subunit ribosomal RNA", at positions 30 to 507 of the family's 1533-position model. The record is from RNAcentral.
UUGAACGCUGGCGGCAGGCCUAACCCAUGCAAGUCGAGCGGAUGAAGGGAGCUUGCUCCUGGAUUCAGCGGCGGACGGGUGAGUAAUGCCUAGGAAUCUGCCUGGUAGUGGGGGAUAACGUCCGGAAACGGGCGCUAAUACCGCAUACGUCCUGAGGGAGAAAGUGGGGGAUCUUCGGACCUCACGCUAUCAGAUGAGCCUAGGUCGGAUUAGCUAGUUGGUGGGGUAAAGGCCUACCAAGGCGACGAUCCGUAACUGGCCUGAGAGGAUGAUCAGUCACACUGGAACUGAGACACGGUCCAGACUCCUACGGGAGGCAGCAGUGGGGAAUAUUGGACAAUGGGCGAAAGCCUGAUCCAGCCAUGCCGCGUGUGUGAAGAAGGUCUUCGGAUUGUAAAGCACUUUAAGUUGGGAGGAAGGGCAGUAAGUUAAUACCUUGCUGUUUUGACGUUACCAACAGAAUAAGCACCGGCUAACUUCGUG